This 616-nucleotide unclassified non-coding RNA is filed under the name Hevea brasiliensis (rubber tree). The record is from RNAcentral. Lineage: Eukaryota; Viridiplantae; Streptophyta; Magnoliopsida; Malpighiales; Euphorbiaceae.
AAGGGCUGAGGAGCCUGUAUAAAAGGUUUCUGCUGCUGAAGCAGCCCAGGGCGAAGAUGAUCCAGUCCAGUGAGCGGCCACCCUUUUAAAGUCAAAUUGUUACUGCCUUGAUUUGAUCCAGGAAUUCCUAUUAAUGCUUCUGGACCAGCAGCUCUGUGAUUUAUUAGUGGGUUGGUCUCACUCUUUAUGUCUGGUGUGGACCCUUGAAGUUGUUGAUUUCUAGCCUGAACCUGUGGGGACAUUCCACCAGCUGUACCAUGUAACACUUGGCCUGAUGGCUGGCCAGUUCCUGCAGACUUCAAUAUUGAGGCAUGAUUUGGAUCUAAAAGCUGGCCAACAUUCUCACUGAAUCUUUGCUUCAUUGCUGCAUCAUCCAAAGAAUCCCUCUGAAUUGGUAGUUUUAAUCUUUCCUCAUACAUCUUUGUCGCCAAGGCAUUUGCAGUUCCAGGGCUUUGACGCAAGAGAGGAUCAUUUCCCACAAGUCCAUUUGCAGUACCAUUUAGAAGGUGAGUACCAUCCCUUCGCUGCUGUUGCUGUUGCUGGGGAGGCUGUUGCUGCUGUUGCUGUUGUUGCUGCUGCUGCUGGUGCUGUUGUUGUUGUUGUUGUUGCUGCUGCU